GACGAACCGUGCGAACGUUGUUCGGAUUCACUGGGCUUAAAGGGCGCGUAGGCGGCCUUCUAAGUCGGACGUGAAAUCCCUCGGCUCAACCGAGGAACUGCGUCCGAUACUGGUUGGCUUGAAUUCGGGAGAGGGAUGCGGAAUUCCAGGUGUAGCGGUGAAAUGCGUAGAUAUCUGGAGGAACACCGGUGGCGAAGGCGGCAUCCUGAACCGAUAUUGACGCUGAUGCGCGAAAGCCAGGGGAGCAAACGGG
RNAcentral lists this ribosomal RNA (253 nucleotides) under uncultured bacterium. Its description in RNAcentral is "partial 16S ribosomal RNA". It matches the Rfam family "Bacterial small subunit ribosomal RNA", at positions 524 to 776 of the family's 1533-position model. The record is from RNAcentral.